Long non-coding RNA from Limulus polyphemus (Atlantic horseshoe crab), 364 nucleotides. RefSeq lists it as uncharacterized. The transcript has 3 exons. The record is from RefSeq and is a predicted model, not a curated record. Lineage: Eukaryota; Metazoa; Arthropoda; Merostomata; Xiphosura; Limulidae.
UGCGCAGUGUAUUGCCCAGCGAUGCUAAUAUUCCCGACCUGCCAGCUGUACAGGUUAGUGCGCACUGACGGGAUAGUCGUUGCUGCAUCACAACGCCAGUUGCUUUCCUGUAAUGUUUUUGUGUGUUUUUAAAUUUACAACAAGUGUUCCUUGCUAAUAUCAGCGGCUUUCACCGAGGCUUUAUAUCAAUUAACCGACUUCAUUGCGAAAGUGAAUCUUUUAAAAUGGAUUUGUUACUAGAUGUGUACAGCCAGAUUUUUCCCUUUGGAUUUUGGAAACAGUUCCAUUUAGUGGUGGUCUCAAUGUUGCAGGAAGACGGUGUAAUCCGGCUGACACCGGGCACCUUCGGGUAGAUAGCUUCGAA